AUAGCUUGAGCCUGUGAGAUCGAGAUUACAGUGAGCUAUGGAUCGGCCACUGCACUCCGGGCUGGGCGACAGAGCGAGACCCUGUCUCAAAAUUAAAAAAAGGAAAAAAAAAAAAAAAAAAGUCUGCGCUCCCCGGGGCCCAAGGAGAGGACCCAGGAGAGGAGUCUGGCUCCUUUUGCCUCAGACGAGUCCAGGGCGCCGGGUUAACUGGUCUAAAGUCCCAGGCGCUUUCUGGGACUGCUCAGCCACCGGCCGCUCCCGGCACCAGGGGACGCCGGACGCCCUCUGGACAAUCGGCGCACUUGCCACGAUCUUGGACGGGCCUCGGGCCUCGACCUUAAGAUUCCCCGCUCCAGCUCCGAGAUGUCAGCAACGCUGAUCCUGGAGCCCGCGGGCCGCGGCUGCCGAGACAAGCCGGUGCGCAUCACCAUGCGCGGCCUGGCUUCGGAGCCGCUGGACACGCUGCGCGCGCGUCCCUGCGCGACGAGAAGGCUGGGCUCUUCCGCUACUGCGCCGACGCCCGCGGCGAGCUGGACCUGGAGCGCGCGCCCGUGCUGGGCGGCAGCUUUAGGGGGCUAGAGUCCAUGGGGCUGCUCUGGGCCCUGGAAUCCAAGAAACCUUUUUGGCGCUUUCUGAAGCGGGACGUACAGAUUCCCUUUAUCGUGGAGUUGGAGGUGCUGGACGGCCACGACCCCGAGCCUGGACGGCUGUUGUGACAGGCGCGGCACGAGCGCGACUUCCUCCCACAAGGGGUGCGGAGCGAUUCGGUGCGCGCGGGCCGGGUGCGCGCCACGCUCUUCCUGCCGCCAGGACCUGGACCCUUCCUAGGGAUCAUUGGCAUCUUUGGUAAUGGAGGGAGCCUGUUGGAAUAUCGAGCCAGCCUCCUUGCUGGCCAUGGCUUUGCCACGUUCGCUCUAGCUUGUUAUAACUUUGAAGAUCUCCCCAAGAACGUGGACAACAUACCCCUGGAGUACUUCGAAGAAGCCCUAUGCUACAUGCUUCAACAUCCCCAGGUAAAAGGCCCAGGCACUGGGCUUUGGGGCAUUUCUCUAGGAGCUGAUAUUUGUCUCUCAAUGGCCUCAUUCUUGAAGAAUGACUCAGACACAGUUUCCAUCAAUGGAUCCGGGAUCAGUGGGAACAGAGGCAUAAACUGUAAGCAGAAUAGCAUUCCACCAUUGGGCUAUGACCUGAGGAGAAUCAAGGUAGCUUUCUCAGGCCUCGUGGACGUCGUGGAUAUAAAGAAUGAUCUUGUAGGAGGGUAUAAGAACCCCAGCAUGAUUUCAAUGGAGAAGGCCCAGGGCCCCAUCAUUUUCAUUGUUGGUCAGGAUGACCAUAACUGGAGGAGUGAGUUGUAUGCCCAGUCUCUGAACGGUUACGGGCCCAUGGAAAGGAAAAACCCCAGAUCAUCUGUUACCCUGGGACUGGGCUUUACACUGAGCCUCCUUACUUCCCCCUGUGCCCAGCUUCCCUUCACAAAUUACUGAACAAACACGUGAUAUGGGUUGGGGAGCCAGGGCUCAUUCUAAGGCCCAGGUAGAUGCCUGGAAGCAAAUUCUAGCCGCCUUCUGCAAACACCUGGGAGGUACCCAGAAAACAGCUUUCCCUAAAUUGUAAUGCGUUUGUCUGUUGUUGACAUGAGAGAGUCAAGAUCAGAUUCUAGUGUUCAAUAACCCUAUGUGAAUCAGCUGUCUCCUGGAUAACAUUAAAGCCAUGUCUUUGUCAUU
Homo sapiens (human) is the source of this 1724-nucleotide RNA transcript. It is a transcript of the gene named ACOT4 pseudogene 1, with no coding region annotated. The transcript has a single exon. NCBI's taxonomy places the organism in Eukaryota, Metazoa, Chordata, Mammalia, Primates, Hominidae. The record is from RefSeq and is marked provisional.